CACCUUUCAAAGUUCAAGAGGAGCAUCUGAACAGAAUGAAAGCAUUUUGUAGAAAUGGUAGUGAUGCUUUACAUCUACAUGCUCUUACACAAUAUGAACUUUCAUUUAUUCAAGAACAUAACACUAAUCCAAGCUCUUACUCUACAAGUCAAUUCAGUUUGUAGAUGCAAGCCAUUGUAAAAACUUUUGUGUUAUAAUUUCCGAAAAUGGAACAUGACAUUACUAAUAUAGAAUCAGCAAUGUUAUAUAACUUAUCAGACAAUAUAACAAGCACUUGGCGAGCAUAUAAGAUAAACUAAAACAAGUUAAUUAGAAAAUGAAACUAAAACCCAAGCUCCGCUAUUCAUUGUAGAAGCUUUAAACAUAAAAUUAAAGUAAAUCUAAUAGCAAAACAUUAGAAUGGAUGUUGGAAUUAAAGCUAAAUUCAAUAGUAAUCCAAAUGAAUCCAUUUGAACUUUGUAAACUCCGCAGAACAAAAUUAAUUUGAGUGAGCAAACUCACCAAUGGCACAAGAACAGAAGGGCUUCAACUUCUAGGAACAAAAAAAAUUGCCGGUGGGACAAAAAUUGACAUUAAUGGCUACAAUACGAAUUAAAGAAAUCAAAACCUAUAAUUACAAGCUAAGAAAGAGAAGAAACUCAUAAUCACAAGCUUACCUGAAACGAUGAGAGAGAGAAUAAGAUGAAGAAGAAGAUCGCUGCCGUUUUACGCCAUUCUCCGGCUACCAGUAAGGUUUAGGAUGGCCAGGCACGCACGGGAGAGAAUUUGGGACUUUGGUUUUCAAAAUAUUGACUUCAGCAAAUAGUUUUCUAUUUAGAAACAAAUUUAUAACUCUACCGUCAAAAUAAUAGAAUGCCAAUUGGCUCUCUACCGUCACGUGGUCAGUAACAUAAGUGAGAGCAGUCUAGCCGUCACAUAAACGGUCACAAAAGCAACUGGCUGUUACAAGUUUAGGAAUGGCAGAUAUUGCCGCGGGGACAUGACCCUCGAGAUUUUCCCAAUUCAGGAGGGUACAUAAUUUUUUACUUAAUUUUUUAUUUGGAAAGGGGACGGAGAUAGGGAUGGAGAUAGUUUUUUUACCCAAUUAAAUUUCUUAUUCAGAGAAAGAAUGGGGAUGCGGCGGAAUCCCUAUCCCUUUCUAAUUUUUUGAUUUAAUUUUAAUUUUUUUAAAAUUAUUUGUAAAUAAAUAAUAAAAUAUUAGUAUAAAUAAAAAAAAUUAAAAUAAUUAUAUUAUUAAAAUUUAGGCCUAACUGACUACAUUAAUAUUUGGAUGAGAAAGUUAUGCCACGGAUGAAAGAUUUUAAUAAUUUGAGUUGGUGUAAAAUAAAUGUCUAUAGAUAUCCUAUAUUGGCACCUAGAGAUAUUUUGGCAAUUCUAAUUACAAAUGUUGCUUCUGAAUUAGCUUUUAGCACCAGUGGUAGAGUACCGUAACACGCUUUAUUCAAGCACAUUGGAGGCUUUAAUAUGUUGUCAAAGUUGACCACAAGCUUACAAUGGCAGUAUGAGUUUAUUUUAAUUAGAAUUUACAUUACUUAUAUCAUUUUUAUUGUUUUAAAUUUGAAAUCUGAGGCUAUCUCUCAAUUUGUCACAUUCCUAUGAAUAUUUUUUAUAAGAAAUCAACAAUAUUGUUGAAAGAAAAACCAAAUAAAAAUAAUAAAGCAAUGCAUAGAUUAAGGCUCUUUAUUAUCUAAUAACUAAUCAAACUAAGUUGUGGGUAAAGGCGAAUAUGUUUGUUUGGCCAAUAAUAAACUCAAGGAAUCACCAAUAAUCACCUAGUUACUAUUCCUUAUGCCAUGCAAUGUAAUGGCGUCGGUAAUGGCGACAAGGCAGGCAAUAACUAGCUAGCUAGUUAUGAUAGUUGCUUAACUUAACCUACUGGAAAUCUGAAGACCAAAAUGAAGAAACUUUGCCUAGAACUAGAAUAGGAAAACAUUCAUACCCAAAACCAAUAUACAUGAUUAAGAAACUUGAUUAUAUGUAUAUUUUUGUUUGCCACACCAAAUCCCACUAUUUCCAUACUCAUAAGCACAAAAAACCAUCGCAAAAAUGAAUGACCAUAUAAAAUAAAAUAGGUCGUAGGACAUUGAGAAUAGGACAACAUGAUUUAUGUACCGUAAAAUAACUAUAUCUGCAGUCAACUAUAUUUCUGUUAGAACUCUAAAGUUUUCCAUUAAAUUUUUUUCCCUGUUAGGUAAACCACUUAACUGAAACACUUAAGCAAGAUUGACAAUCAUAGACAUACAAGUAUUAAUAGGCUCGUUCAAGUGAAAUGAGCAUUAUUUCACAUAUCCUUUAGGCUUUUAAGUCAUUUAGAAGUCAUUCAUGUUAAACAAUUUCUUCAUAUACUUUCAAUAUAAUUAGUACAUACACAAUUAAUUAAUUAAAUAAAUCUGUUUCAGCUAGCACAGGAACUUAAGCAAUCAGAGCUAUUAGUUAUAGCUAGGACUUGAAUGAGGCACCUUUCAAAGUUCAAGAGGAGCAUCUGAACAGAAUGAAAGCAUUUUGUAGAAAUGGUAGUGAUGCUUUACAUCUACAUGCUCUUAC
RNAcentral lists this long non-coding RNA (2544 nucleotides) under Citrus sinensis (sweet orange). Its description in RNAcentral is "long non-coding RNA (CSIN_LNC005588)". The record is from RNAcentral. Lineage: Eukaryota; Viridiplantae; Streptophyta; Magnoliopsida; Sapindales; Rutaceae.